Molecule: RNA transcript, 6566 nt
Organism: Oreochromis niloticus (Nile tilapia)
Lineage: Eukaryota; Metazoa; Chordata; Actinopteri; Cichliformes; Cichlidae
Exons: 3
Source: RefSeq, a predicted model, not a curated record
UCUUCCCAGUGCUUUUAAGAAAGGCGACUAGAUCACUGGAAUUAUUUUGGAAGCAGGUUUUGACUGGAUAACCAUAAAGAGUGGCAUUUCUUAUUCCUUGAUUCCCACAAUUAAACAGCACUGACCCUGUGUGACCCUGUAUCCUAGGAUGCAGGAUAUUCUCUACCAAACUUAUCCCACGUGUGCCGCCUCGAUGCAGUGACCCCACCCAAAUUUGUGGGUUGGGCUAAAUGACGAUGUGUCAGAACAUUGUACAUGACAGACUAUCUUUGGCCUCUAGGUCAGUGUUGCAGUUAAGUAAGGAGGACAACUUAUUGGUGAAAUUUUUCUUCAGUUUCUGGUAAAAUAAAAUGACAUUGCCUGUGGUAGUUUUGAACUGGCUGCCCGGCCCUGCAAGGCAGCCAUGCUGCAGCUUCCUCCAGUGUUCCGCAGGUUGAGGUAGUAGGUUGUAUAGUUCAGAGUGACACCACAGGAGAUAACUGUACAGCCUCCUAGCUUUCCCUGAGGAAACACCACACGCUCUGUACACUGAUGGAUUAUUUCAUAAACGCCAAGAUCUGUGCAAUAUUUGUGUAUGAGAGUUUUAUCGCCUGGUUGUAAACACAGCUUCUCUGUCAGGUGGUUUUGUGUCUGUUUCUUAAUACUCUGAAAUUUCUUCUGUUUAAUUCAAAGUGUUGUUUUGGGGGUUUUUGUUUUCUCUUUUAAGCAGAUAUGGGAAGAGAUAAAGAUAUUUUGCUAAAGACCUGCAUGAACAUGGCAAACACUGCAUCUCGUUUGACACUUGGAAAACAAAGUUGAAACAAUGACAGCACAGAUUAGGGAGGGGGGGCAAAGAGAAAUCAUUUCAAAAUAUGAGGAAAAGCACUAGCAUGCUGCUGCAGUGAUGUUUGCGGGACGCUCUAAUGAAGGAGAUGCCACUGAAGGGAAACACACCAUACAGCCGCAGGGGAAGAACAAGGUCUUGGUGGCCAAUUAUGCACAAAGUUCACUUUCACUUAACCAAAACGAUAUACUUCCUCUGCGCAGCUAUGUGGUAAAGACACUGCUGUGAUCAAAACAGCCAGUAACAACUUUCACUGCUUCAAACCAAGAAAACCACAGGCCCCUGAAAUUAUCUAGGUUCCUGACUGCAAUUUAGAAAUGCGCUGAAUUACUUCUUAAUUUUGGCUGUGUUCAAUUUCUCGGGCUUCGUCUCAGACCGUGUGACCUUUAUCUGCUCUUCAGGCAUAUUUUCGUUGCAUACUUUUGAACUCUGUUGGAUACUACAUUUUUUUAAACUCCCACUUUAAGGUGUUGAAAUAGACACUGCCAAAUAUGCAUACACAAGAAAUUAAUGUAAAGAAAGUGUUGUUAUUUAAUUUGUUUCAACUGUUUGGUGGGUGUCUAAGAAAUAUGGAUCUUUAUGAGUACAAAAAUUUUUUAGUUGUCCUGCCAUAAAAGUAUUUAACUUGCACGUUUUCUUUUAAGCCUGAACUGUAAAUAUACAUUAGACACUGGAUAUAGCGCUGCUAGGUUAGAGAUGGUAUCCUACUCCUGUAGUGCGGUAUGCUGCUGUGUGCAGAUGUGUAGUGCAGGGAGUGUCAUGGUGAUGAAAGACUGUUUCCACUUAAACUCUAUGCUCUCUGUCCCAAGGCCACCGGGUUCGAUAGAGGUGGGGUAAGGAGCUCUUUGGGCCAGAAUGAAGAAGGGGCCCUUGGUACGGGGCAGCUUUUGCAAGAGCGCAAGCAUUCAGUUACAGUAGAUACAACGUGAAUCGACUGUUGGGUUUUUCACUGUGCCUAAUUAUCCUUGCUUACUUUUUUUCCCCCCUCGCCCUUGUUCUAGAAAAGCGUAUUCACACUUCUUUCUGUGCUUGGUGGUUUGUUGUUGCCAUGUGGUAGUGCAUUACAUUAUACAGCAGGAGGCAUAAAGGAGCUCUCCCUGACUGACCCCCCACCCAGCACACACGGCCCACCCUCGCUGUGGAAUCUGUGCAGGUUUUUUGUCUUCUUUGGAAAUUUCUAUAAAUAGUCCCGGUUGACUCUUGUCGUGUUAGUGUGCGGAGACAAGGUGGAAGUAAAACUGAGCAUAAAUGAAGGGACCCUUUGCCGCACUGAAGUGCACGUGAUGCCUUUCAGACAUCGUGACAUGUGAUGUCCGCGAGCAAGGAGAGAUGCCUUAAAAGUGAAUUUUCGAUUUUAAAAAAAACAACGAAGAAGAAGAAAGAAAAGAACGAGGCUCUGGUGAUACAGGGAGAAAAACAGCAAAAUGUAAAUGAGAGCUGAAGAAGUGAGAACUGUCUGCCUGAUUUAUUAUUUUUAAAUUGACUUCAGAAUAAAAGAGAGACCUAUUUAAACCAGCAGGGGGAAAGGGGUGGGGGGCGAUAACGUUGGGACCACACAGGCCAUUUUUCUGCUGUCACUGAUCUCAGCCUAUUGUGCGCUGUCCGUCAGAAGAACCCUGGUAAUUCCCUCUGCUCCCCAUUUGUCUCGCUUUCCUACCAUCUUGUCUCGUGUCUUUCCCCCCCCCUCUUUUUUUUUACAAGCCUUUUCCACUGCUUUACAGUGACUAAUACUGAUAAAAUAUAAGACCACCGCACCACCAGGCUUCCAGUUACAUUUCCUUUGAAGCUCCCUGAACUGGUGCGUUCACUCUCUCUUGCUCCCUCCUUUUCUCUUGUUCCCACCCUCCUUUUCUCCAUGAAACGCACGCUGUAAUACCCAGUCACUCACAGACACAGAGGGCGAGAGACACAGGAACAGAAUACUGGACAUGCUACUGGAGCAGGAUUUUUUUUUUGUUUGCCUUAAAUGAAAAAGGAGCUUGAAAGAGACAUUGUAAGAUAAAACUGUAACUUCCUAUUUGACUGUCUUUGCCUUCUCGUUGUGCUACUGUAUGCUUUUGUUCUCUUCACGUCUCUCUCCCUCAUUUCUCUACCUUCCCUUAUCUCUCUUUCUCCAUAUACUAGGCCUUUUGUCUGUGUAAUUUCAGCUGUGGGGAGGGAAAUGAAUGGGUGAUAUUUAUUUCCUUUCCCACCCUGCUACUGCCGUUUUGAUGCUAUAUGUAACAAACAGGAAAAAAAAAGGGGCAAGCAGAGGCUCUUCAGUUUUUCAGCCCUGGGGACUUGAGCCUGCAAUCUAUGAAGCAUGGAAGGCAAAGGAGGGAAAGAAAAUACAGAGGCACAGGCACAGACCGAGAGGUGUGAUACAGCGAGACUAAAGCACCAAUCAAGAGCAGAAAGAAAAUGUGAGACAGAUGGAGCCAAGAGACGGACAGACAGACAGACAGAGGAAGAAAAAGAUGGGUAGUAGUGUCACAUGGAGAAAGGGCUGAGCAGCAGUAGGCAGAGGAACUACAGCAACAGGCGUUACACAUUUUUUCCUAUUAUUCACUGCUGUCGCUGUUUUGGCACACUGUGUCUCAGUCUUUUUUUUUUUUUCACAGCUACUAACCAGAUCUGCCAAAUUCUGACGGCUGACCGGCACAGGCGUACAGAGAAGACUGCGGCAGCCUCCGCCACCUCGGUCAGCUGGAGCUUGCUACACUCGCUGCUGCACACCGCCGCCAUCUUGUUACUGCCUGUGCUACUGGUCUGCCUGCCUUUGCUGCACUCAAACCAAAUCAUCAAACUCAGCCUGCGGUUGUUUCCAUGCCACUCCUGUUUGUGCGCAGCUUUGUCACAACACAGUGCUGCGCCCCAGCUACCGGACACAUGUCGUUGCUGCACAGAAGCAGACACACCUGGAACUUUUAUCUGGGUGUUUCUUUAAUAGCUGCCACAGAUUGGAUGCUGCAGACGGUGUUGUCAGCAUCUCUCAAACCAUCAGUAAGAUCUGUACCAUUGUAAUACACACUAUGCCCGAUGUAGAUUUAGCUAAGGACUUGACAUGCCGUACACCAUUAAAACAAGUAAAAAUAAGUGAAAUGUUAUUUUACAAAUUUACAAAUGAUUCAAAGUGGCAUGUCUUCUUUGCAGGAUUUAAGAAAAUUGCUCCUGUCGAAGAAAAUCAAUAACCACAAUCUGUCCCUUAUUCUGUGUAUAUAUUUUUCUCCAGAGCCCAUAUGCCUGAGCACAUAUAAUGUAUAUGCUAUCUUUGUGAGCGUGUGUGCUGUAAAGAGAGAGUGGGAAAGAGAAAGGAGGGGAGUGAGAGAGAAAGAGAAAGAGGGAGGAAUCAAGCGUCGGUAAGAAAGUCUUCCUAAUUCUGUUUGGCAGAAACUGUGCUGUUUAACCAUAUGUGCAGAGAGCAGGCUUUGCACAUGCUCAGAAUGACUCAGAGGACACGACUUUCACAUGUCUCAACGCAAUUAGAUUAACUAAUAGAUAAUUUUCCAGCAAAUAUAAAUAAGUUACAAUGAAGUCAUAAAUAAUUUAAAAAGUGUGCACUCUACCUUUAAUUAUUUUUGUUGGACCAACAGUAUGAGGUUAAAACAUGGGCAUUAGAAGGAGAGCGGGAUACAAACACAGCAAGUAUAUUCCAGCUUAUGGAAAUCUUAUUGCUGUAUUUAACUGUGCUUUGGUGAAAAACAAGUGGAAGUGUGUAGGUGGAGGCCAGAGUGAUACAGCAGUGAGUUCAGAAGGUCUUCAAUCCUCUAAGACUAUAUGCCAAGAAGACACCAUGCUAAUGAAAUCAUAAAGACGGUGAAGAAAACAAGCUGUCCCUGGAGAAUACAUCCAUGCAUCGGAGGUUGCCAGUUUUACUUUACUUGUGUCUGGGUAUACAUGUGCUGUAGCUUCGCAGUGAUACUGUAUUUAUAAGGUCAAAGGCUGCUUUGCUUCAGGGUUAAAAUGCUCUCAGCCUUUAUCUUAUGAUACCUUCAUCAGGUCAGUGAAGAUGACCCUUUGCCCCACCAGCUGAGUGGGACAGCGGGUUACAAGAGGUAUGCAUGUCACAGUAAUAUUUAUUAUGUGUAACAAGGAAGAAAAUUUUAAAAAGAAAAAGAAUUUAAAUCACUAUGAAAUACAGGGUACAAUUAGAAUUAGAUAGAAAAGAUCAAGAUGCAAUUAACGUUCAUACUUUAAAUAUUGGACAGAAAUAUGACGUUGAAUAAUUUUGGCCACUUUUAUACACAGUCCGCCAUCUUUAGGUGCUUAAAUGCAGUCGAACGAACGCUCAUUAUAAGUUGGGGGUGGUUUCAGUUACAGAACCAGCAGUUCUGGCCUAUUCAGAGAGCUCAGGUGGUGGAGCAGGUGGUGGAGCAGGUUUGGGCAAGACACUGAACCCCUAGUUGCUCUCGAUGGCAGAUGAGCUGUCUGAACACGUGUGGCCUAUAAAUGCCGAUCGUCUAAAAUCUGUACUUUUAAUACUUUGUCAGGAAUCAUUUGCAGGCAGUCUGAUUUCUGAAACCUUCUGAUAUUAAUGCUUCUGCGUUUCUGCAGUUGUUUGUUUACCCGUCUUGUCAUCAGGGAGUGAAAUUCAUACUCAGUCAGACUGAGAUUGGCCGAGAAAGUUAAAUUGUCUGCAUUGUGGUUGACUAUAAUCAAUGCAGACAUUGCUUGUCCUCAUUGUGUAAGGAUGGAAUCAUUAGAAACACCAAGUAACAGUGUAUUACGUACAGAGCAAAGAAUUCGUAGUUUAUCGAGCUACCAGGUCUCACGCAGAGUUAACUUUGAAUUAAUGAUUAAAAGCAAACAAUAGUCAACUGAUAGUUUUUAUGAAUGUUAUUAAUCUAGUUUAAAAUUUCAAAUUCAGUUGGAAUUUCAGAGACUUCAGAAACAAUACCGAAGCAAUAUUGCUGCAUUUUAAAUCCAUUUUUAAAUCCGUCCAUCCAAGUCAUCUUUGGGCAAAAUGCAGGAUAUACCGUGGACUCAUUACCAGUCUAUCACACGGCUAAUACAGAACACUUGCAGUCCAUCAGCUAAGAAUGGCUGCACAAUUAGAUCCCAUUUAGAGGAAUUAUUCACUGUCAAAAAGUCCAAUUUAUGCAGAAAGCAUAUAAGAGCAAUUAUGAAUUUCUUACUGGAAGGUAAGCUCCAUACUGGAACAUCACAAUACAAGUUCGUAGAGCUUGUCCAAUGAAAUAAUUCAUUAUAAUCCAAAGUGAGCCUUCAGUCAGCCUGGGAGUUGUCCUGCUAUGUUUUUAUGAUCCAGUUAACAGAAAUAAAGCCCUCAACUCUCCGGCUUGAGAAAUGACGUAAGCAGUUAACGAUUGGAAGAAUUUCUUUUGGACAAGAGCGGAGGACGUUGAUCAUUCAGGGUCAACAAUGAGCGCCUCGUUUGUUCUUUUUUUUCCCAUUUGUGGUAUAAAUAGAAGCAGUUCAGCCUUCAGUGGAGAGUUUGUGGAGCAUACUUACUGACUGUCGAAUGCAAAGAUGUUGCAUUCUUUAUUAUUCCAUAUCAACUGUCCUGGAAUCCAUUCCACCAUUUCCCAGAAUUACAGUCCUCAAAGUAUGUAAAUCCCAGCUGCUGUGAAUGGGUGUAGAAUCCCAAGGUUUGUGCAUGUGAACUAUUCAUUCUUCCUCUUUUUCUGACUGCCGAUGCAGUCAAAGCAUGGCUUCUUAUAAAGAGUUACAGGUGUAUCUGGGCUCGCCUUCUUGUUACAUAUGUAAUGCACAGCUGUCAAAAGUAAAUAAAGUAAAAAUCACAAAC